UACGUAAGGUCCGAGCGUUGUCCGGAAUCAUUGGGCGUAAAGGGUACGUAGGCGGUUAAGCAAGUUAGAAGUGAAAUCCUAUAGCUCAACUAUAGUACGCUUUUAAAACUGCUCAUCUUGAGGUAUGGAAGGGAAAGUGGAAUUCCGAGUGUAGCGGUGAAAUGCGCAGAUAUUAGGAGGAAUACCAGUAGCGAAGGCGACUUUCUGGACUGUAACUGACACUGAGGUACGAAAGCGUGGGUAGCAAACAGG
This 252-nucleotide ribosomal RNA is filed under the name uncultured bacterium. RNAcentral's name for it is "partial 16S ribosomal RNA". It matches the Rfam family "Bacterial small subunit ribosomal RNA", at positions 524 to 776 of the family's 1533-position model. The record is from RNAcentral.